RNAcentral lists this ribosomal RNA (540 nucleotides) under uncultured Phoma. RNAcentral describes it as "eukaryotic LSU rRNA". The stretch from base 170 to 323 matches the Rfam family "5.8S ribosomal RNA". The record is from RNAcentral. Lineage: Eukaryota; Fungi; Ascomycota.
UCCGUAGGUGAACCUGCGGAAGGAUCAUUACCUAGAGUUGCGGGCUUUGCCUGCUAUCUCUUACCCAUGUCUUUUGAGUACCUUCGUUUCCUCGGCGGGUUCGCCCGCCGAUUGGACAAUUUAAACCAUUUGCAGUUGCAAUCAGCGUCUGAAAAAACUUAAUAGUUACAACUUUCAACAACGGAUCUCCUGGUUCUGGCAUCGAUGAAGAACGCAGCGAAAUGCGAUAAGUAGUGUGAAUUGCAGAAUUCAGUGAAUCAUCGAAUCUUUGAACGCACAUUGCGCCCCUUGGUAUUCCAUGGGGCAUGCCUGUUCGAGCGUCAUUUGUACCUUCAAGCUCUGCUUGGUGUUGGGUGUUUGUCUCGCCUCUGCGCGCAGACUCGCCUCAAAACAAUUGGCAGCCGGCGUAUUGAUUUCGGAGCGCAGUACAUCUCGCGCUUUGCACUCAUAACGACGACGUCCAAAAGUACAUUUUUACACUCUUGACCUCGGAUCAGGUAGGGAUACCCGCUGAACUUAAGCAUAUCAAUAAGCGGAGGA